RNAcentral lists this ribosomal RNA (236 nucleotides) under uncultured Candidatus Saccharibacteria bacterium. RNAcentral's name for it is "partial 16S ribosomal RNA". It matches the Rfam family "Bacterial small subunit ribosomal RNA", at positions 584 to 818 of the family's 1533-position model. Lineage: Bacteria; Candidatus Saccharimonadota. The record is from RNAcentral.
AAAGUGAAUAGUGAAAUCUGGCGGCUCAACCGUACAGGCUAUUAUUCGAACUCACUGACUCGAGAACAGCAGAGGUAACUGGAAUUUCUGAAGUAGGGGUAAUAUCCGUAGAUAUCAGAAGGAACACCAAUGGCGUAGGCAGGUUACUGGGCUGUUUCUGACACUGAGGCACGAAAGCGUGGGGAGCGAACCGGAUUAGAUACCCGGGUAGUCCGCGCCGUAAACGAUGGAUACUA